This 429-nucleotide ribosomal RNA is filed under the name Chloroflexota bacterium. RNAcentral's name for it is "Chloroflexi bacterium partial 16S ribosomal RNA". It matches the Rfam family "Bacterial small subunit ribosomal RNA", at positions 355 to 776 of the family's 1533-position model. The record is from RNAcentral. Lineage: Bacteria; Bacillati; Chloroflexota.
UGGGGAAUAUUGCACAAUGGGCGCAAGCCUGAUGCAGCCAUGCCGCGUGUAUGAAGAAGGCCUUCGGGUUGUAAAGUACUUUCAGCGGGGAGGAAGGGAGUAAAGUUAAUACCUUUGCUCAUUGACGUUACCCGCAGAAGAAGCACCGGCUAACUCCGUGCCAGCAGCCGCGGUAAUACGGAGGGUGCAAGCGUUAAUCGGAAUUACUGGGCUUAAAGCGCACGCAGGCGGUUUGUUAAGUCAGAUGUGAAAUCCCCGGGCUCAACCUGGGAACUGCAUCUGAUACUGGCAAGCUUGAGUCUCGUAGAGGGGGGUAGAAUUCCAGGUGUAGCGGUGCAAUGCGUAGAGAUCUGGAGGAAUACCGGUGGCGAAGACGGCCCCCUGGACGAAGACUGACGCUCAGGUGCGAAAGCGUGGGGAGCAAACAGG